UCACAAAGUAAGGUUGAUGUGUUGCUA
RNAcentral lists this non-coding RNA (27 nucleotides) under Bombyx mori (domestic silkworm). Lineage: Eukaryota; Metazoa; Arthropoda; Insecta; Lepidoptera; Bombycidae. The record is from RNAcentral.